AGACCGGCGCACGGGUGCGUAACGCGUAUGCAAUCUACCUUUUACAGAGGGAUAGCCCAGAGAAAUUUGGAUUAAUACCUCAUAGUAUAUAGCCCUGGCAUCAGGAUUAUAUUAAAGUCACAACGGUAAAAGAUGAGCAUGCGUCCCAUUAGCUAGUUGGUAAGGUAACGGCUUACCAAGGCUACGAUGGGUAGGGGUCCUGAGAGGGAGAUCCCCCACACUGGUACUGAGACACGGACCAGACUCCUACGGGAGGCAGCAGUGAGGAAUAUUGGACAAUGGGCGCAAGCCUGAUCCAGCCAUGCCGCGUGCAGGAUGACGGUCCUAUGGAUUGUAAACUGCUUUUAUACGAGAAGAAACACUCCUUCGUGAAGGAGCUUGACGGUAUCGUAAGAAUAAGGAUCGGCUAACUCCGUGCCAGCAGCCGCGGUAAUACGGAGGAUCCAAGCGUUAUCCGGAAUCAUUGGGUUUAAAGGGUCCGUAGGCGGUUUAAUAAGUCAGUGGUGAAAGCCCAUCGCUCAACGGUGGAACGGCCAUUGAUACUGUUAGACUUGAAUUAUUAGGAAGUAACUAGAAUAUGUAGUGUAGCGGUGAAAUGCUUAGAGAUUACAUGGAAUACCAAUUGCGAAGGCAGGUUACUACUAAUUGAUUGACGCUGAUGGACGAAAGCGUGGGUAGCGAACAGGAUUAGAUACCCUGGUAGUCCACGCCGUAAACGAUGGAUACUAGCUGUUGGAAGCAAUUUCAGUGGCUAAGCGAAAGUGAUAAGUAUCCCACCUGGGGAGUACGUUCGCAAGAAUGAAACUCAAAGGAAUUGACCGGGGCCGCACAAGCGGUGGAGCAUGU
This 846-nucleotide ribosomal RNA is filed under the name uncultured bacterium. RNAcentral's name for it is "bacterial SSU rRNA". It matches the Rfam family "Bacterial small subunit ribosomal RNA", at positions 92 to 942 of the family's 1533-position model. The record is from RNAcentral.